UUUUCCAGCCACUGAGUUUCUGACUUCUGGAAGGAUUUGGGUAGGGAGGAAAAGGUC
This 57-nucleotide microRNA precursor is filed under the name Sus scrofa (pig). RNAcentral describes it as "miRNA (ENSSSCG00040065573.1)". The record is from RNAcentral. Lineage: Eukaryota; Metazoa; Chordata; Mammalia; Artiodactyla; Suidae.